RNAcentral lists this ribosomal RNA (491 nucleotides) under uncultured bacterium. Its description in RNAcentral is "partial 16S ribosomal RNA". It matches the Rfam family "Bacterial small subunit ribosomal RNA", at positions 28 to 507 of the family's 1533-position model. The record is from RNAcentral.
GAUGAACGCUGGCUACAGGCUUAACACAUGCAAGUCGAGGGGAAACGACGGGGAAGCUUGCUUCCCCGGGCGUCGACCGGCGCACGGGUGAGUAACGCGUAUCCAACCUGCCUCUGACUGAGGGAUAACCCGUCGAAAGUCGGCCUAAUACCUCAUGGCAUCGUCUGCGGGCAUCCAACGACGAUUAAAGAUUUCAUCGGUCAGAGAUGGGGAUGCGUCUGAUUAGCUUGUUGGCGGGGUAACGGCCCACCAAGGCGACGAUCAGUAGGGGUUCUGAGAGGAAGGUCCCCCACAUUGGAACUGAGACACGGACCAAACUCCUACGGGAGGCAGCAGUGAGGAAUAUUGGUCAAUGGGCGAGAGCCUGAACCAGCCAAGUAGCGUGCAGGAUGACGGCCCUAUGGGUUGUAAACUGCUUUUAUGCGGGGAUAAAGUGAGGGACGUGUCCUUCAUUGCAGGUACCGCAUGAAUAAGGACCGGCUAAUUCCGUG